UUGCGUUAGGGAUUGUAGCGACAUCCUUUUGUGGAGCUUGCGAAGCGAAAGAUACAGCGCAAAGCCCGACCCUUU
RNAcentral lists this small RNA (75 nucleotides) under Flavobacterium aciduliphilum. Its description in RNAcentral is "Flavo-1 RNA". The record is from RNAcentral. Lineage: Bacteria; Pseudomonadati; Bacteroidota; Flavobacteriia; Flavobacteriales; Flavobacteriaceae.